RNAcentral lists this ribosomal RNA (253 nucleotides) under uncultured bacterium. Its description in RNAcentral is "partial 16S ribosomal RNA". It matches the Rfam family "Bacterial small subunit ribosomal RNA", at positions 524 to 776 of the family's 1533-position model. The record is from RNAcentral.
UACGGAGGGUGCGAGCGUUGUCCGGAAUCACUGGGCGUAAAGGGCGCGUAGGCGGCGCGGGGAGUCAACGGUGAAAGCUCGGCGCUCAACGCCGAGUCGGCCGUCGAUACUCCCGUGCUUGAGCACUGUAGAGGCAGGUGGAAUUCCGGGUGUAGCGGUGGAAUGCGUAGAGAUCCGGAAGAACACCGGUGGCGAAGGCGGUCUGCUGGGCAGUAGCUGACACUGAGGCGCGACAGCGUGGGGAGCAAACAGG